Molecule: ribosomal RNA, 424 nt
Filed under: Verrucomicrobiota bacterium
Lineage: Bacteria; Pseudomonadati; Verrucomicrobiota
Description: Verrucomicrobia bacterium partial 16S ribosomal RNA
Rfam family: Bacterial small subunit ribosomal RNA
Source: RNAcentral
UGAGGAAUAUUGGUCAAUGGGCGAGAGCCUGAACCAGCCAAGUAGCGUGCAGGAUGACGGCCCUAUGGGUUGUAAACUGCUUUUAUGUGGGGAUAAAGUGCGUGACGUGUCAUGCAUUGCAGGUACCACAUGAAUAAGGACCGGCUAAUUCCGUGCCAGCAGCCGCGGUAAUACGGAAGGUCCGGGCGUUAUCCGGAUUUAUUGGGUUUAAAGGGAGCGUAGGCUGUCUAUUAAGCGUGUUGUGAAAUAUACCGGCUCAACCGGUGGCUUGCAGCGCGAACUGGUCGACUUGAGUAUGCAGGAAGUAGGCGGAAUUCAUGGUGUAGCGGUGAAAUGCUUAGAUAUCAUGACGAACUCCGAUUGCGCAGGCAGCUUACUGUAGCAUAACUGACGCUGAUGCUCGAAAGUGUGGGUAUCAAACAGG